Molecule: small nuclear RNA, 103 nt
Organism: Pipistrellus kuhlii (Kuhl's pipistrelle)
Lineage: Eukaryota; Metazoa; Chordata; Mammalia; Chiroptera; Vespertilionidae
Source: RefSeq, a predicted model, not a curated record
GUGCUCACUUCGGCAGCACAUAUACAGAAAUUGGAGCAAUACAGAGAUUAGCAUAGCCCUGCGCAAGGGUGACACACAAAUUCAUGAAGCGUUCCACAUUAAA